This is a long non-coding RNA of Bos taurus (domestic cattle), 1581 nucleotides long. Lineage: Eukaryota; Metazoa; Chordata; Mammalia; Artiodactyla; Bovidae. The record is from Ensembl.
GCCCUUCCCUAAAAUCACAAGGAAUUCACUCUGGUCAGAAGUUUCAAGCCUUUUCCCAAAGGUUAUUAGUCUACUACUACUACUACUAAGCUGCUUCAGUCGUGUCUGACUCUGUGCGACCCCAUAGACAGCAGCUCACCAGGCUCUGCCAUCCCUGGGAUUCUCCAGGCAAGAACACUGGAGUGGGUUGCUAUUUCCUUCUCCAAUGCAUGAAAGUGAAAAGUGAAAGUGAAGUCGCUCAUUCGUGUCCAACUCUUCUCGACCCCAUGGACUGCAGCCUACCAGGCUUCCCCGUACAUGGGAUUUUCCAGAUGCUGUGGGAGCCCUUCUAGGGAAGAAGAGCCAGAAACGUGCUUUGAAACAUGGGAAGGGAACCACCCAUUGCUCAAGAAGGUGUGUUGGUUCUCCUGGAAUCCCCAACCAGGCUCCUCUCAGAAGGAGCAAAAUGAUUAUUUACCUGCAUCUAUAUGGUUCUGAAGCUAUGAUACUUUGUAUUGGCCACCUGAUGCAAAGAGCUUGCUCAUUAGAAAAGACCCUGAUGCUGGGAAAGAUUGAAGGCAGGACGAGAAGGGGACGACAAAGGAUGAGAUGGUUGGAUGGCAUCACCAACUAGAUAGACAUGAACUUGAGCACACUCUGGGAGUUGGUAAUGGACAGGGAAGCCUGGAAUGCUGCAGUCCAUGAGGUCACAGAGUCAGACACGAAUGAAUGAAAGAACUGAACUGAUACGGUUUUGAAAAAACAGAUACUAAUUAUUAAUUCACUGGGGAAAAUUUGACAUCUCACAUUAACUUUUUUGGGUUUAAGAGUUAAAAACUGAUUUUCAAAAGGUUAACUUAUGAAAACCUCAGCCCAUACACACUUGCUCAGUUAGCCUUUGUAAGGUUCCGUCAGAUGGCACUAGGUCCACUGGCCAUCAGUGGAGGUAGGCGUGGAAGAAAGGAGUUUUGGACCUUGAAUGUAGGGAUCCAGAGGGCACUGAGCAGGUAGACUUUCAGAGAAGUGGACCAAAGCACCUGCUUCACCACCGUCUUAGCCCUGGAGGUAGACAACCCUCGCCCAAAUUCUCAGUGCUUCUGUUUCAUUCCACACUUCCCUGUUUAUUUAAUUUCACUGGCUUUUAGUCAGAAAUUGACUGUGUAAAAUAUUUGGCAUAGAAAGUAAAGUGAAACACUGAAAAUCCAAGGCAACAGGAUAUAAACAGUGAACACAAUAUCCUUGGCCAGUGACUUCUUGUUUCCUCUCCUUAGCAGUGCUGUGGAUUCUCAGCACACUCUGAGAGACCUGAGUGAGCCCUGCUUGUGGUCUGUGAACCUUAUAGGACUCACAGUCCUCUAUUUGCAGGAUCCUUGUUACCAAGGAAAUGGAAACUGGGCCAAAAAUAGAAAUGAUGCCCAUUUGCAAAAUCCUAAAGGAAACAUAGAAACUGGCAACAAUGGGCAAGCCACUCUUGUGGGUUCUUAUUUCUCAGAUAAACAUGCCUUAAUUUAAGAAUCACCCUUGUUAUAAUAUUAAUUCCUUCUAUUCAAUUUUCAAAUUUACAUAAACAUUACUUAAAACUGAUUAGGCAAGGCUUAGAAG